This 183-nucleotide unclassified non-coding RNA is filed under the name uncultured Cryptococcus. RNAcentral describes it as "sequence contains ITS2". The record is from RNAcentral. Lineage: Eukaryota; Fungi; Basidiomycota; Tremellomycetes.
CAACCUCAUCCCCACCGGGUCUUCCUGUGUGGGGUUGGAUCUGGGCGUCUGCCGUCCUUAACAAACGGCUCGCCUUAAAAGUCUCAGUGGGACCGACCCUUUGUGUCGACGUGUUAAGUCUUCGUCGUCUUCUGGGCCUGGGCUCGCUCAUAACCCGCCUUCACCGGCAAUACACUCUUGACU